CAGUAGCCGCGGGAAAACGAAGGGUGCAAGCGUUACUCGGAAUUACUGGGCGUAAAGCGCACGUAGGCGGCUUGGUAAGUUAGAGGUGAAAGCCUGGAGCUCAACUCCAGAAUUGCCUUUAAGACUGCCGAGCUAGCAGGUGAGAGAGGUAAGUGGAAUUCCGAGUGUAGAGGUGAAAUUCGUAGAUAUUCGGAAGAACACCAGUGGCGAAGGCGGCUUACUGGCUCAUACUGGACGCUGAGGUGCGAAAGCGUGGGGAGCAAACAGGAUUAGAUACCCCAGUAGUCCCUGUCUCUUAUAC
RNAcentral lists this ribosomal RNA (301 nucleotides) under uncultured bacterium. RNAcentral describes it as "partial 16S ribosomal RNA". It matches the Rfam family "Bacterial small subunit ribosomal RNA", at positions 509 to 807 of the family's 1533-position model. The record is from RNAcentral.